UGAAGUUAGCGGCGGACGGGUGAGUAACACGUGGGUAACCUGCCCAUAUGACUGGGAUAACUCCGGGAAACCGGGGCUAAUACCGGAUAAUAUUUUGCGCCUCAUGGCGCAAAAUUGAAAGGCGGCUUCGGCUGUCACUUAUGGAUGGACCCGCGUCGCAUUAGCUAGUUGGUGACGUAACUUGGCUCACCAAGGCGACGAUGCGUAGCCGACCUGAGAGGGUGAUCGGGCACACUGGGAGAGACACGGCCCAGACUGCUACGGGAGGCAGCAGUAGGGAAUCUUCCGCAAUGGACGAAAGUCUGACGGAGCAACGCCGCGUGAGUGAUGAAGGCUAUCGGGUCGUAAUUCUCUGUUGUUAGGGAAGAACAAGUGCUAGUUCAAUAAGCUGGCACCUUGACGGUACCUAACCAAAAAGCCACGGCAAACUACGUGCCAGCAGCCGCGGUAAUACGUAGGUGGCAAGCGUUAUCCGGAAUUAUUGCGCGUAAAGCGCGCGCAGGUGGUUUCUUAAGUCUGAUGUGAAAGCCCACGGUUCAACCGUGGAGGGUCAUUGGAAACUGGGAGACUUGAGUGCAGCAGAGGAAAGUGGAAUUCCAUGUGUAGCGGUGAAAUGCGUAGAGAUAUUCCGGAACACCAGUGGCGAAGGCGACUAACUGGUCUGUAA
Molecule: ribosomal RNA, 667 nt
Filed under: Bacillus bingmayongensis
Lineage: Bacteria; Bacillati; Bacillota; Bacilli; Caryophanales; Bacillaceae
Description: bacterial SSU rRNA
Rfam family: Bacterial small subunit ribosomal RNA
Source: RNAcentral